UCCAACGUUAAUCGGGGCAGGGUGAGUCGACCCCUAAGGCGAGGCCGAAAGGCGUAGUCGAUGGGAAACAGGUUAAUAUUCCUGUACUUGGUGUUACUGCGAAGGGGGGACGGAGAAGGCUAUGUUGGCCGGGCGACGGUUGUCCCGGUUUAAGCGUGUAGGCUGGUUUUCCAGGCAAAUCCGGAAAAUCAAGGCUGAGGCGUGAUGACGAGGCACUACGGUGCUGAAGCGACAAAUGCCCUGCUUCCAGGAAAAGCCUCUAAGCAUCAGGUAACAUCAAAUCGUACCCCAAACCGACACAGGUGGUCAGGUAGAGAAUACCAAGGCGCUUGAGAGAACUCGGGUGAAGGAACUAGGCAAAAUGGUGCCGUAACUUCGGGAGAAGGCACGCUGAUAUGUAGGUGAAGCGACUUGCUCGUGGAGCUGAAAUCAGUCGAAGAUACCAGCUGGCUGCAACUGUUUAUUAAAAACACAGCACUGUGCAAACACGAAAGUGGACGUAUACGGUGUGACGCCUGCCCGGUGCCGGAAGGUUAAUUGAUGGGGUUAGCGGUAACGCGAAGCUCUUGAUCGAAGCCCCGGUAAACGGCGGCCGUAACUAUAACGGUCCUAAGGUAGCGAAAUUCCUUGUCGGGUAAGUUCCGACCUGCACGAAUGGCGUAAUGAUGGCCAGGCUGUCUCCACCCGAGACUCAGUGAAAUUGAACUCGCUGUGAAGAUGCAGUGUACCCGCGGCAAGACGGAAAGACCCCGUGAACCUUUACUAUAGCUUGACACUGAACAUUGAGCCUUGAUGUGUAGGAUAGGUGGGAGGCUUUGAAGUGUGGACGCCAGUCUGCAUGGAGCCGACCUUGAAAUACCACCCUUUAAUGUUUGAUGUUCUAACGUGGGCCCCUUACCGGGGUUGCGGACAGUGUCUGGUGGGUAGUUUGACUGGGGCGGUCUCCUCCUAAAGAGUAACGGAGGAGCACGAAGGUUGGCUAAUCCUGGUCGGACAUCAGGAGGUUAGUGCAAUGGCAUAAGCCAGCUUGACUGCGAGCGUGACGGCGCGAGCAGGUGCGAAAGCAGGUCAUAGUGAUCCGGUGGUUCUGAAUGGAAGGGCCAUCGCUCAACGGAUAAAAGGUACUCCGGGGAUAACAGGCUGAUACCGCCCAAGAGUUCAUAUCGACGGCGGUGUUUGGCACCUCGAUGUCGGCUCAUCACAUCCUGGGGCUGAAGUAGGUCCCAAGGGUAUGGCUGUUCGCCAUUUAAAGUGGUACGCGAGCUGGGUUUAGAACGUCGUGAGACAGUUCGGUCCCUAUCUGCCGUGGGCGCUGGAGAACUGAGGGGGGCUGCUCCUAGUACGAGAGGACCGGAGUGGACGCAUCACUGGUGUUCGGGUUGUCAUGCCAAUGGCACUGCCCGGUAGCUAAAUGCGGAAGAGAUAAGUGCUGAAAGCAUCUAAGCACGAAACUUGCCCCGAGAUGAGUUCUCCCUGACUCCUUGAGAGUCCUGAAGGAACGUUGAAGACGACGACGUUGAUAGGCCGGGUGUGUAAGCGCAGCGAUGCGUUGAGCUAACCGGUACUAAUGAACCGUGAGGCUUAACCUU
RNAcentral lists this ribosomal RNA (1589 nucleotides) under Escherichia coli. Its description in RNAcentral is "partial 23S ribosomal RNA". It matches the Rfam family "Bacterial large subunit ribosomal RNA", at positions 1358 to 2925 of the family's 2925-position model. Lineage: Bacteria; Pseudomonadati; Pseudomonadota; Gammaproteobacteria; Enterobacterales; Enterobacteriaceae. The record is from RNAcentral.